Molecule: long non-coding RNA, 367 nt
Organism: Lynx canadensis (Canada lynx)
Lineage: Eukaryota; Metazoa; Chordata; Mammalia; Carnivora; Felidae
Exons: 4
Source: RefSeq, a predicted model, not a curated record
AAAUGUUGUGAGAUUCCUUGAAGGAUUGUGAAAAUUCCAUUUUACAUGGCUGAGUGCCCAUAUCCAGUCUAAGCAAUGGAAACUCUCCAGUUCAAAUCCAAUGAAUAUUAGGGAAGGAACUACGGUUGCUGACUUGCGUUGAAGAAGCAUCUGCUUAAUGUCUGGUCAAAGCUUACAAGUGAUCCAGAAAUCUAUGGUUAAAAAGCCAAGUACUUCACAAUCUACUGCAAAGGGGGAAAUACAGGAAGAUAGAAAUCUUCUGCAAGGAAGAAUGAAUUUAAGGACUUCUCACUAAAGUGGACAAACACAUUUAGUCACUUUGACAAAGCAGGGCAAACUGAGUUGGCAUACAAGUUACCUGAGAAGA